AAUGGGAUUCCCGACUGCAGUCUUCAGUCUUACUCCAUUUUGGACCCUUGUGUUGGUUGGCGCAGGAUUCUGCCUCUUGUCAAGUCUGCUCUACAGAAUUUCGGCUGAUAUUAAUUAUUAGGAAAAUGCCAUACAGAGAUUGAGCACAUGAAGCAGUGCCACCUUGUGUUCAAUACAAGAACUGUACACCAACCAUGAUGUCAAUACAACAUGUUCAUUGCCUCAGCUUGGAGUGGAAAAGAUGAAGCAUGAUUUUUAAAACAUUGUACAAAACCUAAAAGGAAUGUUAAAAAUGUACAAAUUAAAAUAUAACUGACUUGCACAAUAAAACACUGUGGUUCACACUAA
This is a long non-coding RNA of Centropristis striata (black sea bass), 348 nucleotides long. RefSeq lists it as uncharacterized. The record is from RefSeq and is a predicted model, not a curated record. NCBI's taxonomy places the organism in Eukaryota, Metazoa, Chordata, Actinopteri, Perciformes, Serranidae. The transcript is spliced from 2 exons.